AUUGAACGCUGGCGGCAGGCCUAACACAUGCAAGUCGAGCGGAUGAAGGGAGCUUGCUCCUGGAUUCAGCGGCGGACGGGUGAGUAAUUCCUAGGAAUCUGCCUUGUAUUGGGGGAUAACGUCCGGAAACGGGCGCUAAUACCGCAUACGUCCUGAUGGAGAAAGUGGGGGAUCUUCGGACCUCACGCUAUCAGAUGAGCCUAGGUCGGAUUAGCUAGUUGGUUGGGUAAAGGCCUACCAAGGCGACGAUCCGUAACUGCUCUGAGAGGAUGAUCAGUCACACUGGAACUGAGACACGGUCCAGACUCCUACGGGAGGCAGCAGUGGGGAAUAUUGGACAAUGGGCGAAAGCCUGAUCCAGCCAUGCCGCGUGUGUGAAGAAGGUCUUCGGAUUGUAAAGCACUUUAAGUUGGGAGGAAGGGCAGUAAGUUAAUACCUUGAUGUUGUGACGUUACCAACAGAAUAAGCACCGGCUAACUUCGUG
RNAcentral lists this ribosomal RNA (484 nucleotides) under uncultured bacterium. RNAcentral's name for it is "partial 16S ribosomal RNA". It matches the Rfam family "Bacterial small subunit ribosomal RNA", at positions 30 to 507 of the family's 1533-position model. The record is from RNAcentral.